This is a long non-coding RNA of Sphaeramia orbicularis (orbiculate cardinalfish), 2226 nucleotides long. RefSeq lists it as uncharacterized. Lineage: Eukaryota; Metazoa; Chordata; Actinopteri; Kurtiformes; Apogonidae. The record is from RefSeq and is a predicted model, not a curated record. The transcript has 5 exons.
AAUGACGUCUGUUGUAUGGCACCCUCAGGUUGUCCGGCACCCCGAUUUUAUUCUCCAAGAGACGAAAUUGAAGACUUUGGAAGCCAGAGGCCGGAGACAAGUACUCCCUGCACAAAUACAAACACACAAAUAGUCUCCAUAGAUGAUACCUCCUUUGCUGGCCUUGUUAACACCUACUUGAGAGGCAUCUUCAUCGUCUUCUGUUUUGGGAGGCUUGUUUUUGAAUAACCUGCGAUUUGAAGAGGUCUUUGUUUUCCAGUUGAAUAUAAAGUCCACAAGUCGUCAGCUGAAGGUCAGAGGCCGCGCAGAUGUCAGGUCAUUUGAGCCCAGGAAGGUGGAAACGAUGCCGUUCUGGUCCACCUUACGAAUUGUCGUGCCAUCAACAAAAUAAAUCAGGCCAUUCUUGUCUACGGCGAUGCCUGUUGACAUCAGCGAGGGACGAACAAUCAUCUGAAACGACGAAAGUCAAAGUAUCCCCUUGAAGAAUCAACAAGGCCACAAGAGAAACUCACAUGCAAAGACAAUCUGUUUGGCAGAGAGUGGAGAGGCGAGACUGUGGCUGUUACAACCCACAGAGAGGAAAAUAUGGACUCGGAUCUCCAUAAAGCUUCAUCCUGAAUUACCACUGCUUUUGUCAAUUUGACCACUCGUAUUGAAAUAUUGAUUCCACCAGUUGUUGCACUUGGCCACUGAAGCCAGAAUCUAAAUACUGAAUUUACUUUUGCACCAGUAGGGUUAAGGCAAUUACACGCACACACAUACAAACAGUAACAUUUUAUAGCCGACAACAAAAUAGAUGUGUUCUUUUAGUAUCGGUACCAAUUAUAAACAAAGCAGAUGUGAUGUACUGUAAUUCACUAAUAAAGUAUUAGGCCAUUUUUCCACUUGUUCUGGUUUAUAUCGCCACUGCCGUAUAUAUAUAUCUAAUUUAAAAAUGUUCCUGUAGCACACUAAAUUUAACAUACCUGACAUAAGUCCUCAUAGUAGUGUUUUGUUAUGUUCUCCUUGUAAUUACUGUAAAAUAGCUGCUGGGAGACAACUAUUUCUUAAACCAUUAUUUACUGAGGAAAGUGUUGCUGAGCAUGCACGCCUCUUUACAGCAGUGCCCUGCUUCCUAUUAAUAUUGUUACACACUUCACUGUGUUGGAGCUGCCCCGUUCUACCGUUCACUGCUCAGAUCUAUGGUCCGGGUCCCGACAGCAACAUUUUCUCUCCCCAAAUUACCUCCUCUCUUGGACUUUCGGGAAUAUGUUUGUCAACUCUAACCCUUGUGAUGGUAAUGCUAAAUUAAAACCCAACCCAAGACUAACUGGCGAGUUUUUAGCAGGGUGACCUUUGUAAAUUUAAGACAGUUUUCAUAUGUUUGUAACGUACGUGUCUCAAUAAAGGAUGAUGACCCAAUGUACGCUUAAUCAACAUCUGCCACUUUGAAAUAAGCCAACUGGCCAAAUCAGAGUCAUUGCUCAGAGAUGCCAACUUGGCAUGAGGGUGUAAAUCACCCCAAUUACAUGCUGAAGACAGGAUGUCUUUCCUAAUUAUGGAGAUGGAUAGGAAAAAGAUUUCAAAUUUCUAUGGGUGGUGGAAAGAUGUGUGUGACUGAGAGUCUGUGCGCCAUGCCAUUUUAGCUUCCCUCUCCACACCGAAGACAUAAUGUAGAAAUGUAAAGUGAGUUCAGACUUUCCACAUUCUGUCUACUUUCAUUAGCAGCUGCAAUUAUAGAGUAGGACUGUGCAAUUUGACCAAAAUAUCAUAUCCUGAUAUACGUCACUCCACACCCUGAUAACAUAUAUUACAGUGUAUAUAGCACAUAUUCUGUAAGUAUAAUUACUGCACAGAAAAGCUUAUUUUUAUUACUUUAUACAUGCAUCCACUGUCCAUUAAUAUAAGAAGGUAAAAACUGUCAGACACCAUUAUAUUUAAUGUGUAACAUCCUAAGUAUGCCUCAAGAGAAUGUCUUAAAAUUUGGUGGAAAAUUUGGUGGCAAAAUGUCAAGGACACUGUGACCUCAUGUCUAAUCUUUCUUAUGGAUGUAAUAUCUUAAGCAAUAAGCCUUGGGAUUUUUUUUUUUUUUUUUUUUUGGCACAAAUAUUCACUUGGGCUCAAGGAGGAAUGAAUUUAAUCUUGGUAGCCAAAGGUCAAGUUUACUGUGACCUGAUAAAACACAUAUUUUGGCCAUAACACAAAAAAAUACACAAAAUAUGAAUAAAUCUGAUGUAAUUUCACACA